Long non-coding RNA from Hemicordylus capensis (graceful crag lizard), 2411 nucleotides. RefSeq lists it as uncharacterized. The record is from RefSeq and is a predicted model, not a curated record. The transcript is spliced from 2 exons. Lineage: Eukaryota; Metazoa; Chordata; Lepidosauria; Squamata; Cordylidae.
GGUACCGUAGAUAUUGCUGACAUCCGGGCAUUCGAUUAACUUAACUUUCUCCCUCCAAAAAAAGAAAAGAAAACGUGAUACAUCCGGGACCUCAUAUCUCUAUCACAAAGAGAUAUGAAAACUUGAGUUACGUGCAUUAAACACUUCCGGCUCCGAUUAGAGUUCUGCGCGCACACGGAGCAAGAGAAGUGGAGCGGUAGCUAGAAAUAAAUGUGGAACGACAGGACUGAGAGACGUUUCUUUCAGAUAAUCAGGUUUUCACGAUAUUUUGCGCACUGGCGACACUUGUUCUCUUUUUCGAAUUUUAAAAAAAGAGUUCGCCGUUGGUGAAUCAUGCGGGCAGGAAGAAGGUAAAGCAUGAAAAAUUCGAGUCAGGGGCAUUUUUAUCAUACGAACUUGAUGUUUUGUUUAGAAAUGCAUGCCUUUUAUUCAUCCACCUGAUGCUAUUCAUCAGGCAAUAUUUACAGCAACAUUUUGAUCCCCCUUCAGAUUACAAUAUUAAUUGAGCCGUUAGGAGAAACAAUAAAGACGGUAGCGUGUCUUGGUCCAGAAAAUGAAACUGGCACUACUGAACAGAUCUUUUAAGCGUAUAGGAUAGCGCAUAGCCCUACUAGGAAGGCGGGGGGGAAAUCUUUAUUUAAUCUUUAUUUUCGAUAGAAGGAGUAGUUACUGCACAACACUGCAACAAAAGGCAGCCGCUACUGCCGACUGUUUUAUUCGCUGACACUGAUUCAUUUCCUAUGCAUUUUCUCCUCCUGCUCCGCACAUGGAGGAUUCUACUAGCUGGAACCAUUAACCGGAACUCAUUUUAGAAAACCUUUAAGACUUGCCCCAUCAUGGCUUCUUCCACCUCUUGCCGAACACCCAAAUCAAGACAGCAUCCGGGACCUUUUUAUUUUGAAACCGCGUUAUGUGAUUCUCUGAACUUUACGGCAGAGCCUUCGACCUGGCGGGCUUGUAGAGCUUGCGCCCGUUUGCAGCCCGAUCCUAGCACAUUUUCUUGGGAGCAAACUGCAUUUGAAAUGAAUGCGACUUGCGCUUUAGUAAUUGAAUUUAUUGUAGUGUGCAGCCAGAUCCUAUGCAUGACAUGGAAGUUGGCUUUAAAGCAGGACUUAUUCCCAGAUGAAGAAACACGGGGACACCUCAAUGGCAAAGAUUGUGAUGAUGUCAUCCACCUCAAUUCAAGACGGUGGACAAUUAAACUUUGGAGGUGCAAGUGCACUAAUUUGUGGACAGUAACCGAUUUGAACCAAAUUUGCUACAGCUGAAUGGACACAGAGGGAUGCCCCAAUGGUGUAGUUUGUGGUGAUGUCACCCACCCCGAUCCAAGAUGGUGGAUGCAUAAACCUUUGAGACACAAGUGCACUAACCUGAGGACUGUCUAAUUGAUUUGAACCAAAUUUGGAACAGCUGAAGUGAAUGACACACAGGGACACCAAUGGUGCAGUUUGUAGUGAUGACAUCCACACCGAUCCAAGAUGGCAGACCCAUGAACAUUUGAGGCGCAAGAGAUCUAACUUGUGGACCUUGAUUUGCACCAAAUUUAGUCCAGAUGUAGAGACAGUGAAAGGAAAGUAGGCUGAUUAGUUCUUUUAAUUAUUUCUUCACUUCAGCAUGUUCCUGUGUCAGAGUGACACACAGUGUCAGAGCAUGGUGGGGAAUGGUUGCUUGAGCCUGGAGAGAAGCACAAUAGUGAAUCUUGUUGGGGUGCUAGCUAGGGCCCUGGUAUUUUUUUAUGUACAGGCACCAGACCUAUACAAUGCAUUAGCCUAUGCUUGUUUACUUGAAAGAAACUCCUACUCAGUUCAACAAAUAUUACUCCCAUGUAAGUGAACAUUGUUUUCCAGCCUAACAUUCCAUUCUUAUGCAUGGGAAGUAAGUCCCCCUGAGUUCCAGGGGGUUUACUCCCAAGUUAGUGCACAUAGGGCUGCACUUAUCUGUUAAAGGUUAAGCUGCAAGAUUGUUUGGAGCUUGUAAAUAAACACACAUAUUUGGGAGUAAGUCCGAUUGAACUCAGUGACACUGAUUUCCAAGUAGAUGUGGAGUGGAUUGUGCUGCAACACGGCUGGAAGUUGUGCAUAGGGCAGCUGGCUUUAAGAGUCUGCAGAAAAGCAAGUUUGUCCAACACUUUCUCAACAGCAAAUUUGACUGAACAUGUCAGCUCAACAGGGGUACACAACUUUAAAACGUAACUAAUAUUGCCUUGCAGUUGCAACACUUCAAGACGAAAUGGGGACAUUCUUUUAUCCCAUCUCACAACAUGGACCUUACCUGAGCUCCAUACCAUAUUGUUACACAUCAUUGCAUUCUCUUUGCGGUCAGUUCUGCAGCACUGUAUAUAUUUACCCUGUAGUAGCCUGUCCUGUGUUGAUUUGUUUUUGAGUUAAAGAUAUUAAAAAAACCAAACCCUA